Long non-coding RNA from Quercus robur (English oak), 6939 nucleotides. RefSeq lists it as uncharacterized. The transcript is spliced from 4 exons. The record is from RefSeq and is a predicted model, not a curated record. NCBI's taxonomy places the organism in Eukaryota, Viridiplantae, Streptophyta, Magnoliopsida, Fagales, Fagaceae.
UUUUUCGUAAUUUGAUUCCACUAUAACGCACCGUUUCGCACGAAAAGGAAAUGCCCCCAAAAAAGAAAAAAAAUUGAUGAUAACAAGCUAAAGCAAGUACGAUGGGUCUGACGGAUUCUGCUCAAUGUGCUCAAGCAGAUCUUUUGGCUUUCUGGGAAGAGUCGAGUUGGAGGUCAUGGGACAUAUGCUUGGGGAGUUUGUGGAAAAGUACACUGUUUGUGUCAAAGCUGUGUUUGCAAUGCUGAAGAGCGAUAGGGGUUAGUGUCAAAGUAGUCGAUCACGACUUCAGGCCUAACAUGCUCAAUUUGCUUAAUCAGACUAUACGACCAAUUUGAGAGAUUGGUGCUUAGAAACUUUACGGGUAUGUGUGUUACAAGAAUACUCCUUUUGUCAUUUAGAUUCUAAUAUGUACUACUACCAACUUUUUCUUUCAUGUUGUUGACUACAAUUCUAAAAGCGUUAUGUUUGUUUAGCCUUUUUAUCUAGGCUGGUUAGAGCUACUUAUGCAAAGGGUGCAAACAUUGUACUUAUACAGGUAUGUAUAGUUGGAAUCUGUGAUGUCAACAUUUGUAUUGUACGGCUACUUUUGAAACAUGAAAUUAUGUAUUUGAUACAUCUUCAGGAGUACUCUGUAGUUUCUGUUUCAUUGUUCUUAUGACUACAAUAUGGUUUUUGAAAAUACGUUUUGUUCUUCAACUCAAAAAUGUCUUCCUUUCGCUAUCGUUAUAAUUUUUACGGAUUGGAAAAUGUGCAUGUUAAUGACACUAGAGGACCUUGGAGUUUGUGUAAAAAACUAUUUAUUGAGGCACUCAAAUUUAUUCUUACUGUAGUUGUAAAAUAUGUAUGGUUUAAUGGAGUCUAACUUGGUUUUCCUGAUGCCAAAUAUGUUUUGGCAUAGAUUCCAAGUAUUUGAACAUCUGUCAGCAUUCUAAAUUGAUUAGAGGUUUUGAAAAUGCCAGUUUUAGUGUUUUUGGUUCAAAAACCUUGAAGCUAUGGUCAUCAAUGAUGCUCAGUUUAGUGCUCUUGGUUCAGAUUUAGCUUUUCCAGUUUGGGUAUAUUUUUAAUGAAUGAUUUCAUUCCUCAUAAUGGAAAUUUCCCUAAGCUUCUCUUUUAUAAGAUGACCCAACAAUCAUGGCCUGGGAGCUUAUGCAAGAGUCUAUGUGCAAAUUAUAUCCUUCAUGGAAAACCAUUUAGAACAAGACAGAAUAUGUGUUAUAAAACAAGAAAUAACUCUGGCAAACAAUUUUCGGCAUGGGGAGUGAUAGAAGUCCUGCUCCAGAUGGUUUUACUGCUAAAAUUUUCAAGGUUGCCUGGCCUAUAGUGAAGACGCUGUCAUUUCAGCAAUUACUUCCUUCUUCACAUCUGGUAAGCUCCUCAAAGAAGUCAAUUCUACAACCAUUACUCUUGUUCCUAAAGUUCCUAAUCCUUCCUAUAUUUCAGAUUUCAGACCUAUAUAUCCUGUUUUAAUAUAGUCUAUAAAUGUAUUACUAAAAUACUAGCUAAUAGGCUGAAAAUCUACCUUGGUGUUUUGUUGAAUUCUAACCAAACUGCUUUUAUCAAAGAAAGGAAUAUCUCUGAAAAUACUCUUCUUGCUCAUGAGCUAGUGAAACACUAUGUUAAGAUGCCAGCUGAUCUCACAAGUCUUAGGGAUUGAAUGGGUGAUGGAGAAGAUUAAAAGGAAUAUGAGUAGGUUACUUUGAGGGAACCUAGGCCUCCGUCAGAAGAAUAGGGGAUAGAGAGAGAAACUAAGUAUUCAUCUUAUUUCGUGAUUGAUUCCCAUUACAAUGCUACUGUUCUCUUGAACACCCACAAUUGUCCUAACUAAUUAACUGUUCAAUCAGUUAUUUCCUUCCCUAACAGCCUAACUAAUUCCCAACUAACCACAUGUGAGAAAUCCCAUUAUUCACAUGGACAAUUAGGAGUUAGUUAAUUGAAGGUACAAUCCACUACAUUACAAUUACAAGGGUAAGCAUUACAACAAGUAACUAAGUACAAACUCCAUGUGGCAUUCUAGCUCAGCAGCUAGGCUUCAUAGCAAUAACUGUCGGUGCCUUAACAUACCCUUUCCCUUGAAAGCACCUUGCCCACAAGGUGAGGGUAUUUAAGCUGUAAUUGAACUAAGACUUCAGUGAUGUCUAUUCCUGAGCUGCUUCACCCUCUUCUGCAGAAUGGCUAUAGGUUCCAGCAUCAAUUGUCCUUCAUGAUCCAUAGGAGGCAGAGUAGGAAUAGGUGAUAUAGCUGGUCCCAGUGUAGGUUUUAAACAAGAGACAUGGAAAACUGGAUAAAUGCAAGCUGUAGGAGGCAAGUCUAACUUAUAUGCUACCUUCCCCACCCUUUGAAGAACUUGUUAGGGUCCAUAGAAUCUGGGAGAUAGCUCUUACUUACCUUUCUGAGCCAAAGACUUGUGCUUAUAGGGCUGUAACUUCAGGUAAACCCAAUCUCCAAUGGCAAAAGAUCUGUCACUCCUGUGCUUAUCAGCCUGUAUUUUCAUUCUCUGCUGAGCAAGCAAAAUAUUAGCCUUUUUUUUGAUAAGUCAAAAUAUUAGCCUUUAAUUGAGCCAACACUUGCUCUCUAUUGCUCAAAAGGGUAUCCUCAGCUUCAACUCUAGUGGUACCUGGGAUGUACUGCAAUUUAGGUGGAGGGAAGCCAUAUAAGGCUUCAAAAGGAGUGAGCUUAAGAGAGGUGUGAAAAUUGGUAUCGUACCAAAAUUCAGCUAAAGGUAGCCACUGUAGCCACUGAUGAGGUCUGUCACCUACAGAUACUCUCAGAUAGUGUUCCAGGCCUUUAUUCACAAUCUCAUUCUGACCAUCAGAUUGAGGAUGGUAAGCUGUAGACAUGGCCAACUCCAUACCCUGCAACCGAAACAGCUCAGACCAGAAUUUGGAAGUAAAAGCAGCAUCUCGAUCACUAACCAAAGUGAUAGGUAAGCCAUGUAAAACACUUGCUGAAGGUACACUGCAGCUGCAUAAAAUGAGCAUAUUUAGUGAACCGGUCUACAACCACCAAAAUCACUUCAUACCCUUGUGACUUAGGCAACCCUUCAAUAAAAUCUAAACUGACAUCAGACCAAGGUCUAUCAGGAAUGCCCAAAGGUUGUAGCAGACCAGCAGGUGCACUGGUUUCAGUUUUAAUCCCUUGGCGGACUUCACACUCUCUAGUAUACUACUUAAUAUCAGAUUUCAUACCCUUCCAAUAGAACUCUCUUUUGGCUCUAUGAAGAGACUUGAGAAAACCUGAGUGGUCAGCCAUAGGACUAGCAUGGACAUGGUGGAGUAUCAGAUGCUUGAGAGGGGAAUUAGAGCCUAGAUAGAAUCUACCCUUAAACAAAAGAAGACCAUUUUGCAUAGAAAACCCUGUAGAAGUGGCACUAUCAGAUUGCACAGCCUGGAUAAGACUCUGAAGCUCAGGGUCUUGUUGAUAGAUGUCCUUAAGAAUGUCAAUCCAGGUGGGAUUAGGAAAAGAGAUAAAAAAUAACAUGCUAAAUUUGGAGUCUGAAAUGUUCUCUUGCUCUAAAUCCUCCUUUCUAGAUAGAGCAUCAGCCACCUUAUUCUCCACACCUUUCUUGUAUUCUACUGCAAAUGCAUAUCCCAUUAGCUUGGUAAUCCAUUUCUGUUGACCUGGUGUUCCUACCCUUUGCUCCAAUGAGAAUUUUAAACUCUGGUGGUCUGUCCUAACCAUAAAAGGUUUGCCCAACAAAUAUGGCCUCCGCUUCUUCACAACAGAAACUAAGGCCAACCACUCCUACUAUUAGGUUGAUAAAUGCAGAUUCUUGCCUUUCAAGGCUUGACUGUGAAAAGCUGUAGGUCUCUGGACUUGCAUUAACACCUCCCAAACCAAUUCCAGAUGCAUCACAUUCAAUAGCAAAAGGUUUUGAGAAGACUGGUAAAGCUAGAACUGGUGGACUAGCCACUGCCUGCUUGAGUUGUUCAGCUCAUAAUACAAAUAGAUUUGGGGGCCCAAAUCUCCUAAGGCCAGGGUUCUUUGACGAGUGUAAGGCCUCCACAAUUUGUAUAUCCUAUUUGGACUGUUUGCAAUAGCAAUUUAGUCCAUGACUUGUUAUAGAAACCUAGGCAAGAGAGUUGUUAUAUACAUUCAGUUAUUGUGUGUGUUCUGUUUUUUUUUUUUUUUUUUACCUUCUAGUUUGAGUCAAUUUUUAGUCAGCUUUUGCGAUUUGAGUUAUCCGACAUUUUCAUUGUUUUUCAAUUUUGAUCUAGAUUACGUUAAAUAUAGGAGGGUUGUGUUGUGACUAAUGUAGGUUCAAUUGAUGUAGUUUAUAAGGUGAAAGUGAAAGCUGCAGCAGAUGUUGUAAUUAGUUUUCUGCUGAUUAAGCUUGUGUUCAAUCAUAAAAUUGUACCCAAACUUAUGAGGUAACAAACCUUUUCCUGGGGCACUGGCUAUAGUCGUUCUGCUAUAUAUGGUUCUGUUAAAAAUAUUUACUCAAAACAAAUACUUAAUUUCAUAAAUUAAUUUUAACUUGAUAACAUUGUGUUGUAAGUUAUUUCAAUGUAUUUUAAAAUCAUUUGCAACUGAUUUUGAAUUAAUCAAGAAUUAUAUUCUAAGGAAGCAAUAUCUAUUUAUUUAAGUUUAAAUCUUUGAACUUUUCUAAGGGGUUCAACAUCUAAAAUUUCAUCAUUUGGGACAAAAGAUUGAGCAAUAGCUUCUAGAUCUUAUUAAUUUUUACUCUUAAAAUAUGUAUAAAUUGUGGAUAUUUUCCCAUUACCUUAAUUUGAAACCUAUAUAUUUGAAUUUUAUAAACUAGUUAUAUAAUUAAUUAAAAAAUAAAAUUGGACAACCAAGUGUAAACUACUAUAUGACGUACUCAAUACUGAACAAAACCUCCAAUUAUUAUCAAAUAUAAUUUAUAAAUACGUAGAUUCUAAGCUUUGUUUCUUCUCUUUUGAGAAGACGUAGAUUCUUAGCUAAUUACUCAAACCAUCAUUUUCGAAUCUAACAUAACUUACAAUAAAGGGGAAAUUACACUUUAUUAUCUUAAACUUUACACUACAUUACACUUUGCACCCUAAACUAUUUGAAUGCAUGUUUUGUACUCUAAACUGUGACCCCUGUUACACUUUGCACCCUGACGUUAGUUUUAUUGUUAAGAUAGAACAUGACUUGUCCAUGAUUUUUGCUUAGAUGAGACAUUGUUUAAAGACUAAAGCACUCUUUUUACAAACAAUUAAAAACAAAAGAUUUUUUUUUUUCUAUCUCUCUCUUUAGCAUGAGUAAUUUUAAUAACAAGUCCAAGAAAAACAUCAUCUAGGUCGUGAUUAUGAGGGUUGUGCUCAACUAUAUAAGGGUCACCGCACAAUUUAAGAAAAAUACACUCUUUUGAGCUAUGAGUCUUAUGGACGAUAUUAAAAGAAUAAAGCAAGAAAACACAAAAUGAAACAAUGAAUUAAAAUCUCUUUUAUUUAGGGGGGGAGCCCAGCGAAUCUGACCAUGGGGGUGGACAACUGGGGGGUGAACAACCUGAAUUGAUUGGAACUCUUGAAGACAAUCAAUGGGAUCCACAAAAAUUCUAGAGUAGGGGCAGAAGUGUUUCCUAACCGAGAUGCAUUCCGCUUAUUCCAAAUGCCCCAAGCAACAAAGGCUAAAAUUUCUGCAAGAUUGGGUGUUCAUGAAAGUGAAAAGUCCUGGUGAGUAAAUCUCUGAAACUUGUAAAACGGCUAGAGAGAUAGCUUUUGUAGUGUUCAACUUCCCACCAAAUCUCUUUGAGAACCUGGCAAUCCCAUAGAGCAUGGAUAGCAUCCUCCGUUUCCCAGUCACAACACUCACAUGUAGCAUUGCGAGUGACAUGGCGACUUAAGAGGUUCUUCUUCGUAGGCAGAGCUUUGCAACAGGCUCGCCACAAGAAAUGUUUAAUUUUAUUUGGGACUCUGAGGCCCCAGAUAUCCUUCCAAAUCCCACUAUUUACUAUUGGGUUUGAAGGACCUGGAUUAGAUGUAGCCGUGGAUUCAGCUAACAUCCGAUAGGCACUCUUUGUAGAAUAAAUCCCAUUUUUUGUCCUUUGCCAAAUCAAGGAGUCUUCAGGUCAGCGUGUACUGAGUGGGAUUCUAAGGACAGCGUUUGCCUCAUGGGGCAGAAGCUCCUCACGCACCCUAUCUUCCAGCCAACAUGGUCCAUCCUCAUCAAUUAGCGCACAAACAUGAGCAUUAUUUGGCAAAUGCUUCUGAGGUGAAAUAGCUUUCCUGGAAAACUGAUCCGAUAACCAAAUUAUUCCCUCUGAUAAGGACAGUCUCUCCAUUGCCAAUCCUCCACAUUGCACCCAUUCGUACAAGGCUUUGUGCUUUCAAAAUACUUUGCCAAGCAUGUGAACGAUUAGUCUUUACUUCCUCAUCCAAAAUAGAACAAUUAGAGAAAUAUUUUGCCUUGAAGGCUUGGUAAAACAGUGAAUUAGUGUUGUGAAUUAGUCUCCAAACCUAUUUACCAAGAAGUGCCAGGUUGAAUUGUUCCAAAUCUUUGAAACCCAAACCACCAUGAUUCUUUGGGAGGCACAAUUUGUUUCAACCAACCCAGUGAAUUUUACAAGUAUCCCCAUUAUAUCCCCACCAAAACUUGCGGAUCAAAGACUAUCUUUGCAAAGGCCCUUUGGGAGUUUGAAGCAACUCAUGGUGAAAGUUGGCAUGGCUUGGAUUACGGCCUUGAUUAAGGCUUCUCUACCAGUUUGAGACAAGUUUUUCUUUCCAUCCUUGUAUUUUGUGCCAAAUUCUUUCUCAAAUAUAGAUAAAACUUUGUUUCUAUGAUAUUUUGUGUAAUGUAAUAAACAGUAGACACUAGACAGUACUCAACAAACAUAUAUUAUAUUAUUAUUUAGGAUGGUCAGACAGGCUUUGCAAUUAUGUUACAUCCAAAUAGAUUACUCUUUGUUUUUGAGUUGGAAUCUGAUGUUGAUAAGGUUUUGAUGGGAGAAUCUUGAUAUUCGAUAAGCAUUUAUCA